UGCCAGCCGCCGCGGUAAUACGGAGGGUGCAAGCGUUGUUCGGAAUUAUUGGGCGUAAAGCGCGUGUAGGCGGUUCGUUAAGUCUGAUGUGAAAGCCCGGGGCUCAACCCCGGAAGUGCAUUGGAAACUGGUGAACUUGAGUACGGGAGAGGAAAGUGGAAUUCCGAGUGUAGGGGUGAAAUGCGUAGAUAUCAGGAGGAACGCCGGAGGCGAAAGCGACUAUCUGGGCCAUAACUGACGCUGAUGUGCGAAAGCUAGGGGAGCAAACAGGAUUAGAUA
RNAcentral lists this ribosomal RNA (279 nucleotides) under uncultured bacterium. Its description in RNAcentral is "partial 16S ribosomal RNA". It matches the Rfam family "Bacterial small subunit ribosomal RNA", at positions 506 to 784 of the family's 1533-position model. The record is from RNAcentral.